AGAAAUACAAUGGACUGAACCCAAUCUGGAUCAAUUUUGAGUGAUAUUGGUGGGAUUUCAGGUAUUUGUAGUGGGCGGUAAAGGAUCGGAAAGGGCAUACCCAACAACAACUUGACGAGGUCCGCAUUGAAGUAGCCGACUACUUACAGACUCUGUUGUAGGUUCUGACCAGUUUCUUGAUUUUGAGUUAGUUUUAACCAACUUUUUUGUAGCAAUUAUGAACAAACAAGAAUACUAAUUGCUAGGCUAGCCUUGUAGUAUAUAGGUGCAUAUAUGAAUUGGGGUUUUAUUUUGCCCAUUUUGUAAACUGUUAAGGAUGAUGAAUGUCGGAUAUAAUACCCCAAUUUGCAAUUUAUAAUCACAGUUCUAUUUUGUGGACA
Rosa chinensis is the source of this 380-nucleotide long non-coding RNA. RefSeq lists it as uncharacterized. Lineage: Eukaryota; Viridiplantae; Streptophyta; Magnoliopsida; Rosales; Rosaceae. The transcript has 3 exons. The record is from RefSeq and is a predicted model, not a curated record.